This is a long non-coding RNA of Ylistrum balloti, 1949 nucleotides long. RefSeq lists it as uncharacterized. The record is from RefSeq and is a predicted model, not a curated record. The transcript is spliced from 2 exons. Lineage: Eukaryota; Metazoa; Mollusca; Bivalvia; Pectinida; Pectinidae.
UCAUCAACAACCUCAUCCACGAACAAUCAUACUUAGCAUGGACAUGUGCAGCAACAAUACUUUCUUUUGAGAUAACAGAUUACACAAAUAUUGGCCAUUUACUACUGUUUGAUAGUUUUGAUGUCUUGGAUGCUAAAGAGAACAACCUCACAUCUACGAUGAGCCAUUGCCUGAAUCAAUGGAGACUCUCAAGUUCUAAUGGCAAACAGAGUAUCCAAUGCCUGCCAGGUUCAGAUAAAUAAUUAACCCUUCAAAUACAGACAAUAUUGAAUGCUACCGUUUUGUCAUCCACCAGUCAAAUACAGUCAAACUUGACAAGCAAUAUGAUUUUUAGACGUCAACGGUGAAUGAGAGACCGCUGGAAUAGGAGAAAUAUAGCCGUCGCUGCUACAUGCAGAUAUUUUGCAGUUUGAUACAUCAAUAAUUGAGUUGAGCGCAUGACCAGGUGUUACAACUGAGCAGCUGAUGAAAGAGUUAACGACACAUGUACAGUUCCACAUCAGUGGACAUUUAACAGACGUCAGAGCAGCUAAGGUCCUGGACUGACAGGGCAAUCACUACAAUGGAACAGAUGAAAAACAGACCAUGCUGAAUGGAUCAGUUUAGAACUCUUUAAUAUGGGAAAGAAAAUUAAGAAAUUUGACACUGGAAACAGUGCUGCAACAUGGUUAGGCCUUCCAGUCAUAGAAUACUGUUGGUAUCAGUACCUGCCUAUCCUUGUAUGGGAGGCCUACCCAGGCCAGUGGUAAGGAGAAUCACAUGCUAUCUGCCAGACUCUUCCUACAGUGAGAGGAUCCCCAUGGGGACUCAACAUCAGUAUCAUUAAGGUUCCCUGGGAGAAGGACUGGAUCACAAAGAGGCUACAACAGGAUAUUAUCUCAGAAGAAAUACCUGUAGUAUGGUGUUCUCCACCAAAUGCUGAUGGUAUCUACUUUAGCCAACCAUAUGUGACUGAAAGAGCAACUGUUCAAUGCAUGGCUGUCAAAACCUAGAACACAUUGUCUGUUAUACUUAUAGUGAAUCGUCUGGUUGUGAAUUUCAUGACUAAACAUCUAUAUGUUAUCUUCUAUUCCCUUUGCCAGACCCCUGUACUUAAGGCUCCCAGAGACAGUCUCUUGGAAGCAAUGAUACACAAAAAGUGAUCAAAUCCAGAUAUUUUUUUUCUAUGAGAUGAUAUCAUCUAUAUGUUUGUGUACAUUUUGUACAACUUUCUACAGAAGCCAAUGUUCUGCCUCUUACAUAUAUAUCUCAUUUGUACAUUGUUUGUACUGCAUGUGUGGUAGGAGCUAUUCAAAAUAUUAUGGCUGAUUUGCCAAGCCAGGCCCAGUACCUAGGUAUGUGUAAAGUGUUUUCUGAUGCUCAGGAGCUUUUCCUACUAUCUUAUGUACAGAUCUACAGAUGCACACUGUGAACCAUUGAGAACAGAACCUUAUAUUGUCUCAACGACAAAAAGGCAAUUGGUGAAAACACACUGUCUACUCACUUUCGUGACAAGCUUGUAGAAGACUGAUCACUAAUGACGCAAAUCACAGCCAAAUGAAAACUUUAAAAUUGCUCCACCAUUGAUUAACAAUGUACAGUUUUCUUCUAAAGUACUGAGAGGAAUGUGUAGUUUACCACUGGUGAUAUAUACUAUGUAAAUGUGUUCAAUGAUAUGCUUGUAAAAUUUGAGAUUAUUUCAAUUGAUUUUUCUGUCUUUUACACCACAGAUGGACCUUCAUUGUACUGGAGAAUAUAUGAGUUCAUAUUAGCCAUUUGCAAAGUGUGUAUAUAAUGUCAGAAUCUGAUGUAUGAACAGAGCUUUGUGAUCAGGACAAGGUUAGAUUUUAGCAUAAACUUUGAUAUCUCUCUAUGUAAGUGUGAAAAUGUAAACUGACAAUCUCUUUUUCAAGACCUGCACUAAUGAGUAAAGUUACCACUUAAUCAUUAAAUCAUAAUUUGAUAAGAAA